GACGAACGCUGGCGGCGUGCUUAACACAUGCAAGUCGAACGGAAAGGCCCUGCUUGCAGGGUACUCGAGUGGCGAACGGGUGAGUAGCACGUGGGUGAUCUGCCCUGCACUUCGGGAUAAGCCUGGGAAACUGGGUCUAAUACCGGAUAGGAGCCAUUUUUAGUGUGAUGGUUGGAAAGUUUUUUCGGUGUAGGAUGAGCUCGCGGCCUAUCAGCUUGUUGGUGGGGUAAUGGCCUACCAAGGCGGCGACGGGUAGCCGGCCUGAGAGGGUGGACGGCCACAUUGGGACUGAGAUACGGCCCAGACUCCUACGGGAGGCAGCAGUGGGGAAUAUUGCACAAUGGGCGCAAGCCUGAUGCAGCGACGCCGCGUGGGGGAUGACGGCCUUCGGGUUGUAAACUCCUUUCGCUAGGGACGAAGCUUUUGUGACGGUACCUAGAUAAGAAGCACCGGCUAACUACGUG
Molecule: ribosomal RNA, 464 nt
Filed under: uncultured bacterium
Lineage: Bacteria
Description: partial 16S ribosomal RNA
Rfam family: Bacterial small subunit ribosomal RNA
Source: RNAcentral